CCGCGCCCGGCCAAAUUAGGGGAUUCUUAUCAGGAAGAGAAAGCAGCACGAGGAGGGCUCACAAAGGGAAGUGAGGCUCACUAGAACAGCCCCAGGCAUAAAUUGCAGGGGAAACCUGAAAUCAACUGCUCCUAACCCAAAACAGGCACGUCCGUCAAGCAUGAACCAGCAGCAAGAAGCUCCUUGGCAUCCAGUCACAAGGAUCUAAUCUCAACUCCAGAGGACAAGAGAAAUCGGAGGCAAGUCUACCUGAAAAGAGAGAAUGACACGAAUAGACUGGAAGAAAAGAGCUCCAAAAUGUCUGGAGACCCACAGCCACUGAAUGAUUGUGAAGGAGGAAAAACAGACCCUAGGACACCAACCAGCAAGUCACACACGCCUCUGCAGAUGCUGUAUUGGCUGAAGAAAAUGCUGCCACCCAUCGGGGAAGGAAAGGAAAUUCUAUUAAGGAUAUUUUUAAUUCUGAUCCUAAUUCAGGUGAUCCUAAUUAAACAGCUCUGCAUAAACAGUGUCUUGAUAAAUUUUUCCUAUAAGCAUCAAAACGAAAACCAAAUGUCAAUCAAAACUUGAAAUAGCGCCCAUGACUGCCAAGUCUGGUCACAUGUAGCUCUAAUGCUUUUCUUUUACUUGACAAGUAUUUAUUCAAAAACAACAUUUUAAAAUUAUUUGCCUAUGUCAUUAAUAUCAAGUAUAAAUGUUAAGGUCAAAUAAAUAUCACUAAAAGAAAAAGAGGUGUUAAUAAGGCCAAAGAGUAUUUUCUUAUACACUGCAUAUAUAGUUUAUAGCAUAGAAAAUGUUUAAAUCUAUAAAUGCAUGUAUCUAUAGAAUCAUAGGGAAAAGCACACCCAAUAAUGGCUUGAAAAUGAUAAAGACUCAAUCUGGAGGGCUCCUGAAUAAUUAAUGUUUUAAUAUGCAGUACUAAAAGAUUGUAGAAUGCAGAUUUCAAAAGGUACCUUAACUCCAUGCAAAUUCCAUGUCAAUUAUCUUUAUUUUCACAUACAGUUGUGGCAACAUCAGCACAGAAUCAUUUGACAUGAAUAAUCCACCCUCCUCCCACUCAAACUACCAGCAUUUAUUUAGAUUUGAAUAUAUGAAGGACAGAGGUAUGUAAGGCAUGAUGUACCACCUGGAUAAAAAUAGCAGAAAUCCUGAUUAAAUAAUUUACAGUUUUGCCUAGAGCAAUACUUUAGUAUUAGAGAAUAUUAUCAAAUAUUCUUAUUUCCAUCAUUCUGGAUUUUGCUAAGGCUUAUAAUGGUCCAUAAUUAGGGCUCUAACAGAGAACUAAUAUAACACAGAAUGCAGUAUGGUGGAAUGCAGAAAAUAAGAACUCUGGAAUGAAGAAAGCCAUGUUAAAGCUCUGUCUCUUUUACUUAAAUAUAGUGUGACCUUACGCACUUUCUCAUCUACAAAGGCACGAUACCCAUAACUCAGAGGGCUACUAUAGAAGAUAAUGUGAAAGUACACAUUAAAGUACUUGGUAGAAUAAAAAAUUAAAACAAAGGAGUGCGGCACUAGGAAACUUGUGAUCAAUCCGCCAAUUGUCCCUUGAUCUGUUGAUGUAAGACAGGUACCAGUGUCUAAUACUCAUUUGCUUCCUGGAAAGUAUGGGCCAAAAAAUGGGAAAUACAAGACAAAUCCACAUACUCAAAUAUGUAAUACAGCAGUUCUGUUUAUAACUGAGUUAUCUGAAGGGAAGGCAGACAGCUGGUUUGGGAAGCCAAAAUCAUUUAAACACGGACAUACAGAAUCUCUGAAUUGAAACUCAUCAUUAGACAAGCUAAUCUAGUUUCAAAUGUCGAACGAUACUAUUCUGUAACUUAUUUUUAAUUUUCUGCCUUUACACAGAUAGGCUUCAAUAUAAGAAACAGAUAUUGCUGAAAGGUUGUCUGUAAUUUAACUUCUGUUUGCUGUAUCACAUUUUCACUUCAACUUAGCAGCUAAGUUCUUGAGCACUUGGGCAUCAACUAACAGAAAGGGCAUUAGACAGAACUCAGAAGACUUCAGUUCUAGCUUUCUUCCUGUCACUGGGUGACUACUUCCCCCUCUCUAAGCCACAACUGAUGUAUUCUGGAGAAAGGGAGAGGAGAAAAAAUGGGAAGGCUAUGGUAUCAGAGAGUUUCUGUGAUCUCUUCAGCCCUAAAGUUGUAUAAUUUUAUUUUGCUUAAGGAAGAAAAUGGGGACACAUGACCUAUUUUCAUGAAAUUUAUAGUCUAAGUGGGAACCUAAGAAAAAAGGACAGACAACUUAGAAAGUAGGGGAUAGUCACAGUUGUCAAAUGCUUGGCAUAGAAAAUAACAGUGACUACUGAUUUUACAAAAGGGAAAGCUCAAUCCUAACCAAGUAGAUUUCACCAAAGAUCUGAGUAGAAACCUUAAGAAUAAGCAGGACCUCAAUAGAGAGGGCGAGGGAAGAUAAACUACACCCUUCCAUGAUGCACCAGAAAUAUCACAAACUCACAAAUUCAAAGAGCAGUUUACAUAUCAUCUAGGCCUACCUUAUAGAGACAACCCAUCCUGACACGUAAUUCUAAUCCUCAGUGAAACUCUUCCAGGAAGAAGUAGCUUCCAGCUGUACCAGGACACGCUGAUACGUUGUUGGAACGCUCUGGUUAUAAAGCUCUUCUAGAUAAUAAAACAGUAUUUUUGUCCUUUCUUCAUCAUGCUUUGUAAAUAGACAUUUAUUUGAAUAUGUCUCUUUAAACAUGUAACAUUAGGUACUAAACACAGAAACUGUAAUGAAAAUCAACUUUUGAAGAUAGAAGGAAGACUCUUCCUCUUUGAUUAAGAUGCUUUAAAAGAAUCUGGUUUGGCGAAGCCAUCCCCAAACUCGCCUGCUUACCUUUAUGAUAUACCAAGUCAUCUUAUUUUCCACAUCAAAUGGCAAUGUCUGAUUUUUGCCCCUAAAAAAAACACUCUGUUUCUGCCUAUUACAAAAUUUAAUAGAGCAGUUUAUCACAGUUUUUCAUCACUCUUAAUAUUAUAUCUCUAAAACAUAUUUGUUUUUUCCUCCCAUGAAAGGUCCUUCUUAUUUGCAAUAGAAACAGCCAAAUCAUAAUUUAAAGUUUGAGGGCAAUAAUCCACAAUCUAAGAAAAAUCAAACAAAAACUUUGAACCUGAGUUACAUAACCACAAUAUUUCUAAUAGAAAAUUUUAUCUUUAUGUUUCAUUUCAAAACAAAAUAACAAAAUAUAACACCUUUAAUUAAGAACCAAAAGCAUGAUAGCACAUGUCUGUAGUCUCAGCUACUCAGGAGACUGAGGCAGGAAGAUUGCUUGAGCCCAGGAGUUUGAGGUCAGCCUGGGCAACAUACUAAGACCCUGUCUUCAUGGGUUUUUUUUUUUUUUUUUGAGAGAGUUUCACUCUUGUCGCCCAGGCUGGAGUGCAAUGGCACAAUCUCAGCUCGCUGCAACCUCCCCCUCCCAGGUUCAAGGGAGUCUCAUGCCUCAGCAUUCUGAGUAGCUGGGAUUACAGGCAUGAGCCACCACGCCCAGCUAAUUUUUGUUGUUUUGGUUUUUUUUUUUUUUUUUUUUGUAGAGACGGAGUUUCACCAUGUUGCCCAGGAUGGUCUUGAACUCCUGACCUCAGGUGAUCCACCCACCUUGGCCUCCCAAAGUGCUGGGAUUACAGGCGUGAGCCACCGUGGCUGGCCAAGACCCUGUCUUUUAAAAAAUUAAAAAUUAAAGGCCAGGCACGGUGGCUCAUGCCUGUAAUCCCAGCACUUUGGGAGGCCGAGGCGAGCGGAUCACAAGGUCAAGAGAUCAAGACCAUCCUGGCCAACAUGGUGAAACCCCAUCUCAACUAAAAAUAUAAAAAUUAGCUGGGCGUGGUGGUGUGCGGCCUGUAGUCCCAGAUACUCGGGAGGCUGAGGCAGGAGAAUCGCUUGAACCUGGGAGGUGGAGGUUGCAGUGAGCUGUGAUCACGCCACUACACUCCAGCCUGGUGACAAAGUGAGACUCCUACUCAAAAAAUAAAUAAAUAAAUAAAAUAAAAAUUUAAAAAAAAAGGAAACAGCUAAGAAUGACAGUUUAAAAUAUUAAGACAAUAAAGUCCCUGCUUUUUCUAUUUUAUAAUUUCUUUCUCUCUUUAGUAAAAUAAUUGCAGUUUUCUUACUAUACCAUUGAGAUAAAACAUUUUUAAAUUAUUGAAUUAAAUUGGCUUUAGAGUAAAACAAAAAUUGACUCAAAAAACAAUUACUGUGUGUGUACUGUGCUCAGAAAUGUGACCAGCAAUGUAAACCGACAGAACCAAUGGCUUUUUAGAAAAUAACAAAGUAUUUCCGAUCCUUUUUUAAGUAGAGAAUUUUCUCCCAGCACAUCCUAUUUCCAAUUGUGUGCAAAAAACCUUCCAGCUUACAAAUGUUAAUUCAGGGGUUGGCAAAUAAAGGCCCAGAGGCCAAAUCUGGCCCACCACCUGCUCAGUCUGCAAGCUAAGGAUGUUUUCUUACAUUUUUAAAUGGUUGGGGAGAAAUAGAAAGAGUAUUUUUGAAUAUGUGAAAAUUACAUGAAAAAUCAGUGUUCAGUGUCAAUGUUUCUUUGGUAUACAGCCACACCCAUUCAUUCACGUAUUGUACACGGGGCCUUUCAGGCUACAAUGGCAGAGUUGAGUUGCCACGAUAAGCAUGUGAGGUAAUGCAUAUGUUAAUUUGCUCCAUUUAGCCACUCCACAAUAUAUACGUAUUUCAAAAAAUCAUGUUGUACAUGAUAUAUAUAAUUUUUAUUUGCCAAUUUAAAAUAAUUUUUUUAAAGAAGCAGCUACCACAGAGACCAUAAGUAGCACUCUCUUUACACACUACAAAUUGUCAUGAGGCAGUUGUGACUCACUUUUGUCUCCUGCCUGGAAAGCCUAAAUAUUUACAAUGUGAGCUUUUAGAGAAAAAUGUUCUUCAAACCUGGAAUAAUUAAUAUAGUUAUUCAUCAUUCCUUGAAGAACUUAGUAUAAUGGCAGUCUCUAUGAGUCAGAGCUAUCAAGUAAUUACUAGAUUUCUUGAAUCUUAUCAUGAUAUUAGUGUUUCUUUUUGUCAAGUCUCAUAUAUUUAUAUUAUGUAUUAAUUUUUAAAAAUACAUUAUCUGGGCCAGCUGUAGUGGCUCAUGUCUGUCAUCCUAGCCCUCUGGGAGGCCAAGGUAGGAGAAUCACUUGAGCCCAGGACUUCAAGACCAGCCUGGGCAACAUAGCAAGACCUUGUCUCUACAAAAGUAAAGCAAAAUAUUAGCAAGGCAUGGUGGCACACACUUGUAGUCCCAGCUGGGCAGGGGAAUCACUUAAGCCUAGGAGUUCAAGGCUGCAGUGAGCUAUGAUCACAUGACUGCACUCUAGCCUGGGUGACAGAGCAAGAUCCUGUCUUUAAAAAUAAUUUUUUAAUGAAAUGAAAUAAAAUAUAAAAACAUUUAUCAAAGUGUGCUCCACAAAACGGAAAAGGGAUACUGUUUUCUCACAUUCCUUCAAUCCGUCAAAAAUUAAAGACCUCCUGCAUACAAUGAAGGUUGCUAGGAAUUCAAAAUAAAUAAGAUGUAAUUCCUGGCUCCACGUAAUUGCAUUCUAGUAGAGAGACACAGUAUUCCAGUAGAUUGUUGUCACUAAAGGAAAAGCCAAAGCAAUGACAGUAACCUUUGCCAUUUCAUAAUGUCAUACAGACAUUUAAAAAAUAUCACCUCUGUCUGCAUUAAUGGCAAGUUAUACACUUAAAUAGAUAAAGCAACAAGGCUUGACAAACACAUUUAUCCAUCAAUACUUUCAAGCAAAGCAUUAGCCUUACAUAAGCAAUUAACCUUGACCAACACGGGUAUAAACAAAAAUGCUGAUUAAGAACUUACUAAUUAUCCUUCCCAACUUCAGAAGUUUAGCUGGCAUCUGGUUUUUAACUAUGAUAAAUAUACACCAACUCAUCAUAGGUUAUUAACACAUAAGUGAAAAGAAAUAUUUAACCAAAUGGCUACGAAUGAAGAACAC
Molecule: long non-coding RNA, 5945 nt
Filed under: Homo sapiens (human)
Lineage: Eukaryota; Metazoa; Chordata; Mammalia; Primates; Hominidae
Description: HSALNT0025327
Source: RNAcentral